AACUCCCAUGAGUUCUGGAGUAGAAUGUUGCUUGGAAAAUGUUCAUUAUUAAGUUCGUUUUCAACCAUUUCCUGAAAAAGGAGAAAGAAAAUAUUCUUUGUCUGGCUAUCAUGAUAGGUGGUAAUUUUGAAACAUUAGAUAAAGUAUAUGUUAUUACUAUUCUCAGUAUGGAUAGAAGGGAAAAAAAGAGCAUGCUGAUUGCACAUUUAGGAAUGGAUAGUUACUAUCUAGGGCAUCCCAGUGUUUAUUAACUAAAAAACACAUUGAGAAAAAGCCAAAUGGAGUACAUGGCUCGCGUGAUCACUGUUUAUCCAUUGCAGCGUGAAACGCAGACCAAAAUGUGGUGGUUUACAACAGUGAUUUAUCCUGGUCUCUCACAGGUCUGGGGGGUGAUGGGCUCUGCAGGGCCAUUUUUGCUUGUUGGGGUCCUUCAUGUGGUUGCCGUCAGAUGGAGGCUGAAGCUGGGGGCACCUGAAGGCAUGAUUGCUCACGUGACCGCCUCUCAGGCUGGAGCACCUGAGGGCUGGUUGGGCAUCUUGCUCGACAGCAUCCUCAACACCUGGCCAGGUCAAGCUUCUACCCAGUGUAGUGGUCUCAGGAUAGUCAGACUUCUUACUUGUCAGUCAGUUCUCUCCCACAGAGCAAGCACUCCAAUAGACCAAAGCAGAGCUUGCAAGGCUUUUUCCUAAUUUAGCUUUCAAAGUCCUGCAGGGGUCCAUUCGGCCUCAUUCUAAUGAGUUGUGAAUGAGUCAUGGGGCAGCCAAGUUCAAUGGGAGGUGAUUACCCAAAGCCCUGAGUAGAAGGAGGUGUGGUUUACUAGGGGCUGUCUUUGUGGAUUGCCUGCCACCAUCACCAAGCUGUGGAUGCGUCUGCCUGCUCAGAUGCUUUAAUGGGUGAAAUGAUGAGUGUAUUCUGCAGAUUUUGAGCUGUUAAGUGAGAUUGCCCUGUCUCUACUGCAGUUAAAUGAAACCACCGGAUUGCUUUCUGGCCAGUCCAGCGUGGGCAUAAACUCCACCUGCAGUCCCGGCUUGGAGUUCAUGCGCCAGAAUGCCACUGAGUUCUACCUCUCCAGUAUGGACUUGACCACCUGAAUGUGUCUGUUGUGGAGGCAGGUACCAAAACAGGAGUGACACACAAGGCUGAAGAAUUAUAGUCAUCAAGGAAACAUUGGCUACUAGAUAUGACUUAUUUGACAGACAAUUCACAAACUUCUGAGACCUACCGCUUUGCACUUUCUUUGGCAGGAAAUGAGUCAUCGGCAAGUUCCUGGUCGUGCAAAGGACUGUGCUGGUGAUGCUGGAUGGGACAGACACAAUCUCUACUCUCUUGCGCUGGGGCUGGGGGUUCACAUGGAGCGUGAGGAUGGAGGGGAAUCAGCAAGACAAUUUCUGUAAGUGAUGAUUCUAUAAAGAUAUUAAUAAAUCACUUAGAAUAAGAGUGAUUUGGGAGAGCCCCCUUAAGUAGGUUGCUGCACUGGGGAGGAGGCAUUGGCUCUUCCAGGAAGAUCAGAGAGAGUUUUCAAUGGAGAUAGCCUUAUGAUUGUAGAGGGCUAAGCCAGAAGGAAAUAUGAUCUAUUCAAGAACUGGGGGAAGGUAAGAAGGUGUCAGAGGGAAGGCAGGAUCCUGCUCUCAUGGGCCUUUAAUGAUAUACAGUUAAUUGGCCAAUGUUCUGGGCUCUCAAUUCUGAUAUAUGUGUUUAUCAUAAGAUGCAUUGCCUCCUUCCCUGGAUUUGUAUGUAGUUCUAUGUGUGUCUAUUGUCACCUUUUUCUUAGUCUUCUCCUUUUGGGAUGAAGGAUCUAUUCUGUUGCUUUUGCAUUCUUCUCCUGGAGCCUCGCCUUCAAACUCCAGCUCAAUAUCUGGCAUCUCCUCUUCAUUGAAGGACUUCCUGGAGCUAGACUUUCUGCCUGCCAGCAUGUAGUUUUUAGAACCACUGCUCUGGCUUCUCCUGUACUUUCUACCGCUAUAGUAGGGACCACCCUCUCAGCAGGACCUACCCCAGUGCAGCGGAUGCUGCCAUAUUCUAGAGGAAAGAGUUCAGGUUUGGACACUAGCUCUGGUUGCUCCACUACAGUGUUCUUAUGAGGAAUUCAUAGAAGAACUAUUUAAAACCCCAAAGAAACAGUGCUUAGCACGAUGCCUACCACAUGGCAAGUACUCAAGUCAUGUUAGUUUUUUUGUUGUUGUUCCAAAAUGCACUCUGAUCCUCUCCCAAC
Molecule: non-coding RNA, 2212 nt
Organism: Sus scrofa (pig)
Lineage: Eukaryota; Metazoa; Chordata; Mammalia; Artiodactyla; Suidae
Source: RefSeq, a predicted model, not a curated record